CUUCAAUUGCCCUAUCUUCACACCUGAACACUAUUGCUCCGGUAUCCUGCCAUUUUGGAUCAGGGCGGUUGACGGUGGAUUCACUUCCCAUCAGCCCUUGAGGCUGCAGGGACCAGCCCUUUGUGGAGAAGCCCAGGCGGCCUAGAAUCCAGUGUCGUCCGUGAGUGCUUGGCUGGUGUUCAAGUGCAUCUUCCAGCCUGAGACCGCGUGGACUCGCUCAUCGUGAGGGCGAGAGGAGGAUAAGCCCAUUGGGCUGUCGGCUGAGAGUGAGACCAUCCACAAUAUUGUUUGAACAUCUGAAGACAUGGGGAACUUGCCAUCUGAUAUCUGAUAACAGACUUCCUGUAAAGCAGGACUGGUAGUUUCCUGAUAACAAAUUCUUCAAUAUGAAGCAGAUUGCUGAUGAAAUCCUUGGCAUCGUCGGAGAUCUCAUCGAAUGCCUCGUCGUCGAAGUCCCAGGUGGCUGAGGUAACGUUGGCCAAGGUUUCGUUAUCGUUGUCUCCCAUGAAGGGGGAAAGGCCACUGACUCUGGAGAGACAAGAGCAGGACAGCAGGUGUGGCUAGGAGAGGGCGCGACGACCAGGUGAGUGGUAACUGAGGUCAAAGGCGAGGGUCGGCCAGCCU
Molecule: long non-coding RNA, 624 nt
Filed under: Homo sapiens (human)
Lineage: Eukaryota; Metazoa; Chordata; Mammalia; Primates; Hominidae
Description: HSALNT0059709
Source: RNAcentral